AUUUUUGGAUAAUCGCGUGAGGAGAAUUGCUUCUCAUGAGGAAAGUCCAUGCUAGCACAGGCUGUGAUGCCUGUAGUGUUUGUGCUAGGCGAAACCAUAAGCCUAGGGACGAGAAAUCGUUACGGCAGUUGA
RNAcentral lists this RNase P RNA (132 nucleotides) under Streptococcus mitis. RNAcentral describes it as "partial RNase P RNA component class B". It matches the Rfam family "Bacterial RNase P class B", at positions 1 to 131 of the family's 365-position model. From Rfam's summary of the family: Ribonuclease P (RNase P) is a ubiquitous endoribonuclease, found in archaea, bacteria and eukarya as well as chloroplasts and mitochondria. Its best characterised activity is the generation of mature 5'-ends of tRNAs by cleaving the 5'-leader elements of precursor-tRNAs. Cellular RNase Ps are ribonucleoproteins. The record is from RNAcentral. Lineage: Bacteria; Bacillati; Bacillota; Bacilli; Lactobacillales; Streptococcaceae.